Molecule: long non-coding RNA, 1467 nt
Organism: Phasianus colchicus (ring-necked pheasant)
Lineage: Eukaryota; Metazoa; Chordata; Aves; Galliformes; Phasianidae
Source: RefSeq, a predicted model, not a curated record
GGCUGCGGGGGGCGCUGUGCGCGGGCAGCUCGCGCCGCUGUGGGCGGGAAGGGGCUGCGAGGGGCGAGCGGCGCUCUGGGGCGUCCGUGUGGAAGCUGCGACUUCAGCGUUCCCGUGUCGCUUCGAAACCCGACGUUGCGGUGCCUGUGCGCCCGCCUCUCCGCAGUAUGCAACAAUCCCUGUGCUAUUCAAUACACAGUGAACAUCUGAGCUAAUAAGGAUGAAACUUAACAAGGACAGAAGAUAAAAUGGCUUGUUCAGAUUGUUAUGCUCCUGUGAAUUCAAGCUGAUAUUAUGACAUCCAGUUCAGUAAAAAGACCUUUCAGAUGAGUUGAAGAAAGUUCACUGAAGAAGAGAUGAUGAAUGUUUUGCAUCAUGCCUCAAAAAAUAGUGAGUUGUAAACCAUAAGAAUAAAUAACAAUGAUGAAAGACAGUAUCAAAUCUUAGAAAAUAGUAAUUGGCUAGAGUGAAGCAUAAGGAGACAGAAAAGAUGAUUUUAAUACAGAACUAUGAAAGAUGAACCUUAUUUGAUGUUAAAAUGUGCAUUAUUAUUGUGUCGGCCAAGUAUUUGUAUUCUGACAUAACAUACCUCAUAACACUAAGUUUUGUAUGUUUGUUUUUUACAGUGAAGGCAAUAGUACUUCAAUAAUCUUGACUAUCAAGUGUUCAACAUCUGUUGAACAUCUGCUUUCUAAACCUUCUCUUCAUUUUGGUAAUUAAGCUAAUAAUACUACCAAAAACCUCUUACUAUCUUUUAUCAGAAAUUAAUCUGUCUUAAAAUAGGCUUGAAGAAAAGAUUGCUUUCUUUUGAAGCAGGUUGUUUUUUAAUUUUCAAACUAUAUUUUAAAUUCACAGCUUCUGCAAUUCAGCUCUGCAAAAAUAACUUUGAUUCCUGAGUUCCCCUUUUAGGCCUUUCUCUGUGAAUACUGUCAUUUGCUAAUUGAAAUUUAACAGAAAACAGGUGGUUUUCAGGGUCUCUGGAGAUGAUUAAAAGAUUUGAAAUAGAAUUAAGACAUCUACAUGCAGCUAAUCUGCAGAACCAUCAAACCAAGUACAUUUCGUUCCCUUUCUUCCUUUUCCUUCCUUGUACCCGUGUAACUGGUGUUAGCCCAGAAGUUGCUACCUAGCACCCAAUAGCUGAAUUUGUCCCACAGUGUUUUGCCUGGCCUUUAUGACUGCCCUGAUCAAAACUUGGCACAUUUCAUGGAUUGGGCAUCCAGCUGUAUUACACAUUUUUCUUGUACCUGACAUAACUCAGCCCUGCAAUGCUGCAUAACAAAUCUCACUGCAGAAUCAUUCAAUGGAGACAACUGGAGAAAGAUAGUCUCAAACAUGCACAACUUUGCCAGUUGAUAUUUGGAUCACACAUCCUUCUAGUCAGUAACUGUCUUAGUUAUGUAUGUGAACAAUUGUCAGCAUAAUUAGACCCCAGCUUAUUUAAACCUAAAUAGUAUUGUAAAGACAUAG